UUUCUCUCACCACACUUUAAAGGAGGCAGCAGGCCGCGUAAAUUGCCCGAAUUCCCUGACACCAGGGAGGUAGUGACCAAGAAACUAACCAUUGCAGGCUCUUCGAGUCUUGUAAUUGGAAUGAGUACAAUUUACAUCUCUUCACGAGGAUCAAUUGGAGGGCAAGUCUGGUGCCAGCAGCCGCGGUAAUUCCAGCUCCAAUAGCGUAUAUUAAAGUUGUUGCAGUUAAAACGCUCGUAGUCGGAAUUUCGGGGCGGUCCCGCCGGUCUGCCGAUGGGUACGCACUGGCGGGCGCGUCCUUCCUCCCGGAGACGGCCGCUACUCUUAACUGAGCGGUGGUCGGAGACGGGAUGUUUACUUUGAAAAAAUCAGAGUGUUUCAAGCAGGCAGUCGCUCUUGCAUGGAUUAGCAUGGGAUAAUGAAAUAGGACUCUGGUGCUAUUUUGUUGGUUUCGAGCACCGGAGUAAUGAUUAACAGGGACAGUCAGGGGCACUCGUAUUCCGCCGAGAGAGGUGAAAUUCUCAGACCAGCGGAAGACGAACGACUGCGAAAGCAUUUGCCAGGGAUGUUUUCACUGAUCAAGAACGAAAGUUAGGGGAUCGAAGACGAUCAGAUACCGUCGUAGUCUUAACCAUAAACCAUGCCGACUAGGGAUUGGAGGAUGUUCCGUUUGUGACUCCUUCAGCACCUUUCGGGAAACUAAAGUCUUUGGGUUCCGGGGGGAGUAUGGUCGCAAGGCUGAAACUUAAAGGAAUUGACGGAAGGGCACCACCAGGAGUGGAGCCUGCGGCUUAAUUUGACUCAACACGGGGAAACUUACCAGGUCCAGACAUUGUGAGGAUUGACAGAUUGAGAGCUCUUUCUUGAUUCGAUGGGUGGUGGUGCAUGGCCGUUCUUAGUUGGUGGAGUGAUUUGUCUGGUUAAAUCCGUUAACGAACGAGACCGCAGCCUGCUAAAUAGUUGCACCCAACCCCCUGUUGGGGCUCGCUUCUUAGAGGGACAACUGUCUCAACAAGGAAGAGU
This 1023-nucleotide ribosomal RNA is filed under the name Isochrysis galbana. RNAcentral's name for it is "SSU rRNA". It matches the Rfam family "Eukaryotic small subunit ribosomal RNA", at positions 401 to 1440 of the family's 1831-position model. Lineage: Eukaryota; Haptophyta; Isochrysidales; Isochrysidaceae. The record is from RNAcentral.